UGGUUUCGGUUUCGGCCCGAGUUUUGAUAUAAGUUCUCUUUGGGCCGAAGCGGAAGGAGGCGUCAUACGGUAAUGGGCUUCUCAUGAAAGCAGUGGCGCAACCAAACGACACGAUUACCAAAACCGAAAUGAAAGUGAAUUAGGGCACACGCAUACGCCGAAUCUAAUCUUUACCUAAUCGCAAACAAUCUAAAGUACCUGGUCGUCAUCGUCCCCUGUCUCUCUCUGUGUCCAUUGGCCAUCGUCAGCCUUCGAAAUGAGGCAAAGACUCAAGAGGAAGAGGCAUAUUUCAGAUUCACGCACAAACUCGUAAUCUGCCUUUUCGAUUAUCCUUCUCCCUUUUCUUCAUUGAAAAAUGCGUUUUAAGUUGCGGCGAAUUGAGUCUAUGGCGGAUGCAGAUUCGGCUUUACAAGGAAGGCAGAGGUAUGGGAAGAUUAGGUUUCAUUAUUUGAUUUUAUCAUCUAGAUUUCCAUUUAGAUAUUUGUAUAGAUAGAUAUCUUUAGAAUUACUUGUUAUUUGAAUUUGACUGUAAUUGAAUUUGAAGGUGCAAAUAUGGAUAAAGGGCUUUUCCUUUA
This is a long non-coding RNA of Hevea brasiliensis (rubber tree), 575 nucleotides long. RefSeq lists it as uncharacterized. NCBI's taxonomy places the organism in Eukaryota, Viridiplantae, Streptophyta, Magnoliopsida, Malpighiales, Euphorbiaceae. The record is from RefSeq and is a predicted model, not a curated record. The transcript has 2 exons.